RNAcentral lists this ribosomal RNA (253 nucleotides) under uncultured bacterium. Its description in RNAcentral is "partial 16S ribosomal RNA". It matches the Rfam family "Bacterial small subunit ribosomal RNA", at positions 524 to 776 of the family's 1533-position model. The record is from RNAcentral.
UACGGAGGAUGCAAGUGUUAUCCGGAAUCACUGGGCGUAAAGCGUCUGUAGGUGGUUUAAUAAGUCUAUUGUUAAAGCUUGAGGCUUAACCUCAAAAAAGCAAUAGAAACUAUUAAACUUGAGUAUGGUAGAGGUAAAAAGAAUUUCCAGUGGAGCGGUGAAAUGCGUAGAUAUUGGAAGGAACACCGAUGGCGAAGGCAUUUUACUGGGCUAUUACUGACACUCAGAGACGAAAGCUAGGGUAGCAAAUGGG